CAAACCUUCCAUCCCCAUCCCAAACCUUCCAUCCCCAUCCCAAACCUUCCAUCCCCAUCCCAAACCUUCCAUCCCCAUCCCAAACCUUCCAUCCCCAUCCCAAACCUUCCAUCCCCAUCCUCCCAGGAUCCCCAGCCCAGCCUCCUCCCACCCACCGGUGGCUCCAGGCUGGUUGUUCACACAGUUUAUUUGCUCAGUUUGGGUGUUUUACAAACAACGGGGUGGGGAGGGAUGGGAAGGGGAGGGGAAGGGAAAGGAAUUCAAACGGCUUCGGCACAAGUGAAAAGCUCAGGGGCACGGGAAGUGCACUUCAGCAGAGCCGGGCAGGGGACAGAGGGGCUGUGGGGCGGGGUGGGGACGAUGCCGGGCCCACCCCCCACUCCUCUCACACCCCAGCCCCAGCCCCCCCCCCCCCCCCCCCCCCCCCACUCCUCUCACACCCCAGCCCCAGCCCGGGGGUCUGCUCCUGCUCCCCACCGCCCCAGGGGCCGGGUUGGGCUCAGGGUCAAAGCCAACCGAGGGGCAGGGGGUGCCGAGGGCAGGAGGGAGCCCCAGCUUGGGGCUGGGGGAUUGCAGGGCCCAGGGUGGGAUGGGGUGGGUGGUGUUGGCCCCUGAUGUGGGCUGGCAAUAGGUGACAUUCCCCCCAGGACUAUGGGGGCAGAUGCCCCGUGGCACCCAGCCCAUGCCCUGCUCUGCAGCAAUGAGGCUCCAGCGAUGCCCAGCAGUGGAUGGGGUGGGAGAGGCCCUGCAAUGACUCUACUGGGGGGAAAACUGCAGCCUGGGUGGUAACUGGGGGACAACUGGGGUGUCAUGGGGACAGGAGGGUGUCACUGCUCACACAAGGGGAAUGUGGGGGAAGGAAGGCUCAACCUUUGGGGAGAGCUGAGCCCCAUCCCUGGCUGCUCGACCACGGGUGUUGUGGUGGGCUGGGCAGCGUGGAUGCUGCUCCACACAUGCUCUGGGGGAUCCCUGGGGACUUGCCCAGCCUCACGGCAGAUGAAACCCUCUCACACUCAAAAAUCGAUCCCUCGCUAGUGGCUGCACCCUGCCCAAAGCUCCUGGAUGAGUAUCUGAGCACUGCCAGCCUGGGUGCUGCAGCUCAGGGGCAGCUGAUGUGGGCACUGGAGACCAAAAACCAGGGGACCCCCCCCGCCUGCCCCAGCUGGUCUCAGUGGGGAGAAAACGCUGGUGCUGGUGG
This 1198-nucleotide long non-coding RNA is filed under the name Ficedula albicollis (Collared flycatcher). Its description in RNAcentral is "lncRNA (ENSFALG00000025687.1)". The record is from RNAcentral. Lineage: Eukaryota; Metazoa; Chordata; Aves; Passeriformes; Muscicapidae.